RNAcentral lists this long non-coding RNA (995 nucleotides) under Chrysemys picta bellii (western painted turtle). RNAcentral describes it as "lncRNA (ENSCPBG00000023697.1)". The record is from RNAcentral. Lineage: Eukaryota; Metazoa; Chordata; Testudines; Emydidae.
AGUUUGUGGAGCAUCUGCUGGUGGUCCAGGAGAGCUGGCUGGUCAUGUGGUGCUUCCCUUUCAUUUUUCAUUUCAAAAAAAGGCCAGUGAAAAUAAGGAUAAGGAGGCAGUUUGCUGCUAAUGGCUGUUUCUACCCGGGGGAAGAGAAGAAAGGAGUCUGGAGCUGCUAAUUAAGGACUGGAGCCACCAGUGGGACUGAGGCUACCAAACAUCCACAGCAGAAGAAUGUCCAGGGAAGUAACAGAGGGAAUGAGACAGCCAGGAUUCUAGAAGAACUGUCAGCUGAGGAGGGUAGUGCUAUGCAUCAGCUCAAGGUGGCCCAGAAAUUCAGAACACAGGAAAGAGUGUGACUCCCUCCCAGGUCUGACCUCUUGACCAUCUGAAGGCAUGGAUCUUCCUGCUGCCCCUUGGAUUUCUGCUUAUUGCCAUCUCUGCUACUUCCAUGGGACGUCCCCUCUCCCUGGACACUCUGUUGGAAUCAAGCGCCUGCCAGCUCAAGGAGAAUAUUAUUCAAUUCAACGCAAGCCACAAUGAAAGCUCCAGAUUAUGCUGCUUUGUGUCCUUCAUGAGAAAAUUGGCUUCUCAUGAAAAAUGGACACUUCUGCCAGGUUGCAUGGGAAAUAGGGAUUUGGGAACAACCUACAGGCUUCUUCUGUGUGCAUCAUAGAGACUAGACAUACUUCAGAGAUGCUGGGAUGAAGAAUUGGUUACACUCCAUUGACUUCAGGUAUGUAGCAUCUGCUUGCUCUAGGGCUGAAUUUAGCCAGAUGUGUGGAUUAACAAAAAUGGACCCCAAACCGAAAAACUGGAUCUGAACCUCUUCUCCCACCAAAAUUUGGCCAAGACUGGACCUCAACUUGAAUCAUGGUCCUUUAUUUAUAAAUAGGAUUGGAAGGAUUAGAUUUAUAAUGGUAAAUGUUGAUUUCACUGUGCACACAAAACAAAUAUUUCCACUGAUUUUGUUUUUGCAUCAUGCCUGUAAUUAAUAGCUAUCU